UUAACUCAAAAUUGUACGGAGUAGGAAUGUUUACUUAAGUUUGCCGCUAGAGGCGCUGUUCCAACUGCAUACAACUUUGACUUA
Molecule: non-coding RNA, 84 nt
Organism: Bombyx mori (domestic silkworm)
Lineage: Eukaryota; Metazoa; Arthropoda; Insecta; Lepidoptera; Bombycidae
Source: Rfam